Molecule: ribosomal RNA, 451 nt
Filed under: uncultured bacterium
Lineage: Bacteria
Description: partial 16S ribosomal RNA
Rfam family: Bacterial small subunit ribosomal RNA
Source: RNAcentral
GUGGGGAAUAUUGGACAAUGGGGGGAACCCUGAUCCAGCCAUGCCGCGUGUGUGAAGAAGGCCUUUUGGUUGUAAAGCACUUUAAGCGAGGAGGAGGCUACCGAGAUUAAUACUCUUGGAUAGUGGACGUUACUCGCAGAAUAAGCACCGGCUAACUCUGUGCCAGCAGCCGCGGUAAUACAGAGGGUGCAAGCGUUAAUCGGAUUUACUGUGCGUAAAGCGCGCGUAGGUGGCCAAUUAAGUCAAAUGUGAAAUCCCCGAGCUUAACGUGGGAAUUGCAUUCGAUACUGGUUGGCUAGAGUAUGGUAGAGGAUGGUAGAAUACCAGGUGUAGCGGUGAAAUGCGUAGAGAUCUGGAGGAAUACCGAUGGCGAAGGCAGCCAUCUGGCCUAAUACUGACACUGAGGUGCGAAAGCAUGGGGAGCAAACAGGAUUAGAAACCCUUGUAGUCC